UGGGCUGGUUUCCCACCCGUCAUCUCUGAGGGUGAUUGGGAUCUCUACAAAUAUGAGACACAGGGACUGGCCUGGUUCUGUAGGGAAGGUUCUGCAGCUGGUGGGACGGAAGCUUCUGCCCAAGUCUCUGGGCCUGGGCUGCUCUGCAGAGGCUGGGCAUGGAGCAGGGGGAGGAGCCAGGGUGAGCACAGGGAGGGCCUUGGGGCAGGGAGGAGACAGGAGAUGAGGAAGCAAUGAUGGUUCUGGGGAGUGGAGGGGAAGCCCCAGUAGAGGGAGGAGGAGCCUGGAGAUGCUGCUGGGAAGGACUGGACCAGACUUCCAUCCCUCUAACCUCUGCCCAGCCCAAGCAGCAGGUAGCCCUGGGAGGCCAGUUCCCCAUGACUGCCCCCCAACACCGCUUGGGGGACCCUCAUGUGGUCAUUUCCAUCACAAGAGGAAUGACCCCUGUGGGACUGGGCCAGCUGAGCCCGCAUCUCUCAUCUCUGCUUAUGGAUUUGUUUGUGUCUAGGGAUUUAAUAAACUCCUUUCUCUUCCGUUGUCACUUUUCAGCCUGCAAUGAAUGUUUGUGCUGAGGACCGAGACCAGCUGUGUCAAUGUUAACUGCUGGUUCCAGGAUACUCUUUCCCAGGUGGAUGAGGGUGAAAACAAUAAAGAAUGUCACUCAUUGCUUCAGGGAAUUCCUGAAAACCAAUUAUCCAGGUGAUCCUGGCCCUCUGUCCCAAAGCCACAGACGCUGCAGGCAACUGAGUCCGCUCAGAGGAGGCCACUGAGCCUACAAGAUAGGACAGGAGAGAUUGAGCUAUAAAACCAUGACAAGUGCAUGGAGCAGCUAUUUGAGCACCAGGAAAGGAAAUGGUACGCAGCAGUUUGGGAUGGCCCCAGCAGAUGAAAUACAACAGAGUCAGUGUGAGACUGCUGGAUUUCCUCACUGUCCCCUGGCUGGGACUCCAGACAGCCCCAAACCUGAAGGGGCACAAACCUGAAAACAAAAAGAAGUCCAGAAAGCCCUCUUGUUCAGGAUCGAACUUGGGAAAGAAAACUUAUUUGGCUCAAAGUGAAGGCUCAGUCCCCUGCACAAGCAGGUGGUUCACACCUGUGUUCUCAUCUCUCUUAUACCAGCGCCUCUCCCUGGGUUCACACUGAUGUCCUAUGGAUGGAGACGGGGCUUCCUGCACCAGGUCACUCCACAGCCCCUGUAACCUGAAGCCCUGCAGACCAGCCUUGUUCAAUCACAAUGUGAUGUGAGCCUCAUGGGAAUCCCACUGUCUAGUCAUCAUGUUAUAAAUACAAAGAGAAGAAGUCAAUGAGUUUAAAUAAUGUAUUUUAUUUACCUAGCAUAUCAAAAAGAGUAUCAUUUUCAUAUAUAAUCUAAGUACAAUUAUUUAUGAUAUAUAUCAUAUACUUUGCAUGGCUAUUGUUAUUAUUUUUUGAAGAAUCUUUAUGUGGAGA
RNAcentral lists this long non-coding RNA (1449 nucleotides) under Homo sapiens (human). RNAcentral's name for it is "HSALNT0405105". The record is from RNAcentral. Lineage: Eukaryota; Metazoa; Chordata; Mammalia; Primates; Hominidae.